UACGUAGGCGGGAAAUUAAGUCAGUAGUGAAAUCCCACAGCUUAACUGUGGAACUGUUAUUGAUACUGGUUUUCUUGAAUAUAGUUGAGGUAGGCGGAAUGUGUAAUGUAGCGGUGAAAUGCUUAGAUAUUACACAGAACACCGAUUGCGAAGGCAGCUUACUAAGCUAUGAUUGACGCUGAGGUACGAAAGCGUGGGGAGCGAACAGGAUUAGAUACCCUGGUAGUCC
Molecule: ribosomal RNA, 229 nt
Filed under: uncultured bacterium
Lineage: Bacteria
Description: partial 16S ribosomal RNA
Rfam family: Bacterial small subunit ribosomal RNA
Source: RNAcentral